RNAcentral lists this long non-coding RNA (244 nucleotides) under Pan troglodytes (chimpanzee). RNAcentral describes it as "long non-coding RNA NONPTRT008830". Lineage: Eukaryota; Metazoa; Chordata; Mammalia; Primates; Hominidae. The record is from RNAcentral.
AAGGAAAUGAAAGCUCAGGAAGAUUCAGUGAUUAAGAUCACAUUACUCGCCUGAGUGCCCAAAAGACGCCCUCAAGGACAGGGAAGCAGCUGCGAUUCACUCAGCGAUCACCAGCGCCCAGAAUUCAGGGCCGCUCAAGCGGAGCAGCAACACGUGGCCCAGCGAAAGGAGCUGCGUCCCGUGCAGCACAGCAACAAGAAACUGGCCUAGGAAGACGCUGGAGCGUCUUUCUUUCGCACGUUAC